GCCUAGCCGUAAAUAAUUCACUCACACCAGCCAACGCCAGGGAACUACGAGCAAUGCUUAAAACCCAAAGGACUUGACGGUGCCCCACCCAACUAGAGGAGCCUGUUCUAUAAUCGAUGAUCCCCGCUACACCCAACCACUCCUAGCCUAUCAGCCUGUAUACCUCCGUCGAAAGCCUACCAUGUGAAUGCCCCUAGUGGGCCCAAGGAUCCCCCCACCAACAUGUCAGGUCAAGGUGCAGCCCACGAAGUGGAAAGCAAUGGGCUACAAUUUCUAACCUAGAACAAACGAAAGUCUGUGUGAAACCACAAACAUGAAGGCGGAUUUAGUAGUAAAAAGAAAACAGAGAGUUCUUUUUAACCCGGCCCUGGGGCGUGUACACACCGCCCGUCGCCCUCUUCAAUCGUACCCCCCACUGUCCCUAACCC
This 428-nucleotide ribosomal RNA is filed under the name Pulchrana laterimaculata. RNAcentral's name for it is "partial 12S rRNA". It matches the Rfam family "Bacterial small subunit ribosomal RNA", at positions 794 to 1436 of the family's 1533-position model. Lineage: Eukaryota; Metazoa; Chordata; Amphibia; Anura; Ranidae. The record is from RNAcentral.